AUGGUUAAGUUAGAAAGGGCGCACGGUGGAUGCCUUGGCACUAGGAGCCGAUGAAGGACGGGACGAACACCGAUAUGCUUCGGGGAGCUGUAAGCAAGCUUUGAUCCGGAGAUUUCCGAAUGGGGAAACCCACUGCUCGUAAUGGAGUAGUAUCCAUACUUGAAUACAUAGAGUAUGAGAAGGCAUACCCGGGGAACUGAAACAUCUAAGUACCCGGAGGAAGAGAAAGCAAAUGCGAUUCCCUGAGUAGCGGCGAGCGAAACGGGAACAGCCCAAACCAAGAGGCUUGCCUCUUGGGGUUGUAGGACACUCUAUACGGAGUUACAAAGGAACGAUAUAAGCGAAGAGGUCUGGAAAGGCCCGCCAAAGAAGGUAACAGCCCUGUAACUGAAAUGUUGUUCUCUCCAGAGUGGAUCCUGAGUACGGCGGAACACGUGAAAUUCCGUCGGAAUCCGGGAGGACCAUCUCCCAAGGCUAAAUACUCCCUAGUGACCGAUAGUGAACCAGUACCGUGAGGGAAAGGUGAAAAGCACCCCGGAAGGGGAGUGAAAUAGAUCCUGAAACCGUGUGCCUACAAGUAGUCAGAGCCCGUUAAAGGGUGAUGGCGUGCCUUUUGUAGAAUGAACCGGCGAGUUACGAUCCCGUGCAAGGUUAAGCAGAAGAUGCGGAGCCGCAGCGAAAGCGAGUCUGAAUAGGGCGCAUGAGUACGUGGUCGUAGACCCGAAACCAGGUGAUCUACCCAUGUCCAGGGUGAAGUUCAGGUAACACUGAAUGGAGGCCCGAACCCACGCACGUUGAAAAGUGCGGGGAUGAGGUGUGGGUAGGGGUGAAAUGCCAAUCGAACCUGGAGAUAGCUGGUUCUCUCCGAAAUAGCUUUAGGGCUAGCCUCAAGGUAAGAGUCUCGGAGGUAGAGCACUGAUUGGACUAGGGGCCCCUACCGGGUUACCGAAUUCAGUCAAACUCCGAAUGCCGAUGACUUAUCCUUGGGAGUCAGACUGCGAGUGAUAAGAUCCGUAGUCGAAAGGGAAACAGCCCAGACCGCCAGCUAAGGUCCCAAAGUAUACGUUAAGUGGAAAAGGAUGUGGAGUUGCUUAGACAACCAGGAUGUUGGCUUAGAAGCAGCCACCAUUUAAAGAGUGCGUAAUAGCUCACUGGUCGAGUGACUCUGCGCCGAAAAUGUACCGGGGCUAAACGUAUCACCGAAGCUGCGGACUGUUCUAACGAACAGUGGUAGGAGAGCGUUCUAAGUGCUGUGAAGUCAGACCGGAAGGACUGGUGGAGCGCUUAGAAGUGAGAAUGCCGGUAUGAGUAGCGAAAGACGGGUGAGAAUC
This 1331-nucleotide ribosomal RNA is filed under the name Bacillus pumilus. RNAcentral describes it as "partial 23S ribosomal RNA". It matches the Rfam family "Bacterial large subunit ribosomal RNA", at positions 1 to 1329 of the family's 2925-position model. The record is from RNAcentral. Lineage: Bacteria; Bacillati; Bacillota; Bacilli; Caryophanales; Bacillaceae.